Molecule: ribosomal RNA, 254 nt
Filed under: uncultured bacterium
Lineage: Bacteria
Description: partial 16S ribosomal RNA
Rfam family: Bacterial small subunit ribosomal RNA
Source: RNAcentral
UACGUAGGGGGCAAGCGUUGUCCGGAUUUAUUGGGCGUAAAGAGCUCGUAGGUGGUUCGGUAAGUCGGAUGUGAAAUCUCCAGGCUCAACCUGGAGGGGUCAUUCGAUACUGCCGUGACUAGAGGUCGGUAGGGGAGUGUGGAAUUCCUGGUGGAGCGGUGAAAUGCGCAGAUAUCAGGAGGAACACCGGUGGCGAAGGCGGAUCUCUGGGCCGUAACUGACGCUGAGGAGCGAAAGCAUGGGGAGCGAACAGG